GGGCGUGUAGCUCAGUCGGUUAGAGCGCUACCCUUAUAAGGUAGAUGUCGAUGGUUCGAGUCCAUCCACGCCCA
This 74-nucleotide transfer RNA is filed under the name Candidatus Falkowiibacteriota bacterium. RNAcentral describes it as "tRNA-Ile". It matches the Rfam family "tRNA". From Rfam's summary of the family: Transfer RNA (tRNA) molecules are approximately 80 nucleotides in length. Their secondary structure includes four short double-helical elements and three loops (D, anti-codon, and T loops). The record is from RNAcentral. Lineage: Bacteria; Candidatus Falkowiibacteriota.